UACAGAGGGUGCUAGCGUUGUUCGGAAUCAUUGGGCGUAAAGCGCGCGUAGGCGGCCCGGUAAGUCCGUUGUGAAAGUCAAAGGCUCAACCUUUGAACGCCGAUGGAUACUGCCGGGCUAGAGUCCGGAAGAGGCGAGUGGAAUUCCUGGUGUAGCGGUGGAAUGCGCAGAUAUCAGGAGGAACACCAAUAGCGAAGGCAGCUCGCUGGGACGGUACUGACGCUGAGGCGCGAAAGCGUGGGGAGCGAACAGG
RNAcentral lists this ribosomal RNA (253 nucleotides) under uncultured bacterium. RNAcentral's name for it is "partial 16S ribosomal RNA". It matches the Rfam family "Bacterial small subunit ribosomal RNA", at positions 524 to 776 of the family's 1533-position model. The record is from RNAcentral.